This 723-nucleotide ribosomal RNA is filed under the name uncultured Bacilli bacterium. RNAcentral's name for it is "bacterial SSU rRNA". It matches the Rfam family "Bacterial small subunit ribosomal RNA", at positions 67 to 773 of the family's 1533-position model. Lineage: Bacteria; Bacillati; Bacillota; Bacilli. The record is from RNAcentral.
CGCUGAAGAGAGGAGCUUGCUCUUCUUGGAAGAGUUGCGAACGGGUGAGUAACGCGUAGGUAACCUGCCUUGUAGCGGGGGAUAACUAUUGGAAACGAUAGCUAAUACCGCAUAACAAUGGGUGACCCAUGUCAUUCAUUUGAAAGGGGCAACUGCUCCACUACAAGAUGGACCUGCGUUGUAUUAGCUAGUAGGUGAGGUAACGGCUCACCUAGGCGACGAUACAUAGCCGACCUGAGAGGGUGAUCGGCCACACUGGGACUGAGACACGGCCCAGACUCCUACGGGAGGCAGCAGUAGGGAAUCUUCGGCAAUGGGGGCAACCCUGACCGAGCAACGCCGCGUGAGUGAAGAAGGUUUUCGGAUCGUAAAGCUCUGUUGUAAGUCAAGAACGAGUGUGAGAGUGGAAAGUUCACACUGUGACGGUAGCUUACCAGAAAGGGACGGCUAACUACGUGCCAGCAGCCGCGGUAAUACGUAGGUCCCGAGCGUUGUCCGGAUUUAUUGGGCGUAAAGCGAGCGCAGGCGGUUUGAUAAGUCUGAAGUUAAAGGCUGUGGCUCAACCAUAGUUCGCUUUGGAAACUGUCAAACUUGAGUGCAGAAGGGGAGAGUGGAAUUCCAUGUGUAGCGGUGAAAUGCGUAGAUAUAUGGAGGAACACCGGUGGCGAAAGCGGCUCUCUGGUCUGUAACUGACGCUGAGGCUCGAAAGCGUGGGGAGCGAAC